GCAAUUUAUGCUUAAAUUGGUGGCCACAUGCACAUUAAGACUUUUUGUCCCUAAAUGACCCCUACAUGUCCUGUUGAGGUUUAUUAGUGCUGCAAAGCUGCAGAACUUCUGUGAUUCGCAAGCUCCUGUUCUACCGCCAAAGAACUUAUAUGGAUAGUUGUGAUGGAGAAAGGGAAGAUGUACUUACAACUCAAUCAAUUUGCCAAGGUGGUUUCGUAUGUGCUUAAAAGGAACGUCUCUGAUUUUUUGUGUUGAGCUUUCUGCAGAAUAUUCCAAUUAUGAUAGUCAUGAAGGCAAUGGGAAUGGAAAGUGAUCAAGAGGUUGUCCAGAUGAUCGGCAGAGACCCUAGAUAUAGUGCCCUACUUCUUCCAUCGAUUGAGGUUAUGGCUUUUAUGUCUCACAAGUUGCUUUAAUCUCGGGAAUGUGCAAGCCUCAGUAUAUUUACACAACAACAAGCUCUUGAGUUCCUCCAGGGAAAGGCCAAUAUAAUGCAUACAUUUUCCCAGGACUUGGUCUAGGCUUGAUAAUGUCUGGGCUUGCGAACUUUGGUAUUCUAAGAGCAUGACAAUUCAAUUUGCCGAUGGAGCGGCAUUAGUCAAAGGGACAAAAAGAUAGAAGAUGGCCACCCCAGAAGAAAACAACGAUGUGAAAACUCUUGAAACAUAGCCCAACAAAAGGAGAAACAAGAAGUCCAUCAUCUAGGAACACUUCACAAUAGAAAUUGUGAGUCCUAGAUCUAGAAGGGCAUGCUGUAAGCAGUGCAAGCAAAGUUUCACUUAUGGCAUAGGCUCGGAGGUCGCUAGCACUAGCCAGCAAAGUAAGGUGCGAUGAAUCAUUGACUGAACUGAUAAUGCAACGGGCAGAAAUUUCAGAAUUACCUAAAUUCACUGGGGAUUUGGAAAACUUGAAAAUUUUGAAUAUUGCUUACCGUAAGAAAUUGAGUAGUUUACCCAA
RNA transcript from Eucalyptus grandis, 954 nucleotides. It is a transcript of the gene named DNA-directed RNA polymerase III subunit 2-like, with no coding region annotated. Lineage: Eukaryota; Viridiplantae; Streptophyta; Magnoliopsida; Myrtales; Myrtaceae. The transcript has 4 exons. The record is from RefSeq and is a predicted model, not a curated record.